UACGGAGGAUGCGAGCGUUAUCCGGAUUUAUUGGGUUUAAAGGGUGCGUAGGCGGUUUAAUAAGUCAGCGGUUAAAUGUCGGGGCUCAACCUCGGCCUGCCGUUGAAACUGUUGAACUAGAGUUAGAGUGGAGCAUGCGGAAUGCGCAGUGUAGCGGUGAAAUGCAUAGAUAUUGCGCAGAACUCCGAUCGCGAAGGCAGCGUGCUAACUCUCGACUGACGCUGAGGCACGAAAGCGCGGGUAUCGAACAGG
RNAcentral lists this non-coding RNA (252 nucleotides) under uncultured Bacteroidales bacterium. Its description in RNAcentral is "contains 16S-23S intergenic spacer region". It matches the Rfam family "Bacterial small subunit ribosomal RNA", at positions 524 to 776 of the family's 1533-position model. RNAcentral also lists the same sequence under 1 other name. Lineage: Bacteria; Pseudomonadati; Bacteroidota; Bacteroidia; Bacteroidales. The record is from RNAcentral.